This 1242-nucleotide ribosomal RNA is filed under the name metagenome. RNAcentral's name for it is "bacterial LSU rRNA". It matches the Rfam family "Bacterial large subunit ribosomal RNA", at positions 1564 to 2816 of the family's 2925-position model. The record is from RNAcentral.
UGAUGACGAGACGCUAAGGCGUUGAAGCAGUGUAUGUCAGACUUCCAAGAAAAGCUCGCAAUGUCAUGAAUAAAACCUGCCUGUACCAUAACCGACACAGGUGGGUAGGUAGAGUAUACUAAGGGGCGCGAGAUAACUCUCUCUAGGAACUCGGCAAAAUGACUCCGUAACUUCGGGAGAAGGAGUGCCUUAUUUAUAAGGUUGCAAUAACAAGAUCCAAGCAACUGUUUUAUCAAAAACACAGGUCUCCGCUAAGUCGUAAGACGAUGUAUGGGGGCUGACGCCUGCCCAGUGCCAGAAGGUUAAAGAAGUUGGUUAGUGUAUGCGAAGCUGAUGACUGAAGCCCUGGUGAACGGCGGCCGUAACAAUAACGGUCCUAAGGUAGCGAAAUUCCUUGUCGGGUAAGUUCCGACCCGCACGAAAGGCGUAAUGAUUUGGAUACUGUCUCGGAGAGAGGCUCGGUGAAAUAGACUUGUCUGUGAAGAUGCGGACUACCUGCACCAGGACAGAAAGACCCUAUGAAGCUUUACUGUAACUUGAAAUUGGAAUUGGACUUUGCUUGCGCAGUAUAGGUGGGAAGCGUUGAAGAUAUUCUUGCGGGAGUAUUGGAGCUAUCAGUGAGAUACCACUCUUGUAAUGUUAGAUUUCUAACUUUGAACCAUAAUCUGGUCAAAGAACAGUCUCAGGUGGGCAGUUUGACUGGGCGGUCGCCUCCCAAAUGGUAACGGAGGCGUACAAAGGUUUCCUCUGAACGGAUAGAAAUCGUAUCUAGAGUGUAAAGGCAUAAGGAAGCUUGACUGUGAGACCUACAAGUCGAGCAGGGACGAAAGUCGGUCUUAGUGAUCUGACGGUACUGAGUGGAAAGGCCGUCACUCAACGGAUAAAAGUUACUCUAGGGAUAACAGGCUGAUCUCCCCCAAGAGUUCACAUCGACGGGGAGGUUUGGCACCUCGAUGUCGGCUCAUCGCAUCCUGGGGCGGUAGUACGUCCCAAGGGUUGGGCUGUUCGCCCAUGAAAGCGGUACGCGAGCUGGGUUCAGAACGUCGUGAGACAGUUCGGUCCAUAUCCGGUGUAGGCGCUAGAAUAUUGAGAGGAGCCUUCUUUAGUACGAGAGGACCGAGAAGGACACACCGCUGGUGUACCAGUUAUCGUGCCAACGGUAAACGCUGGGUAGCUAUGUGUGGAGUGGAUAACCGCUGAAAGCAUCUGAGUGGGAAGCCCACCUCAAGAUGAGUAUUCUCC